AAUAUUGCACAAUGGGGGAAACCCUGAUGCAGCGACGCCGCGUGAGUGAAGAAGUAUUUCGGUAUGUAAAGCUCUAUCAGCAGGGAAGAGAAUGACGGUACAUAACUAAGAAGCCUCGGCGAACUACGUGGCAGCAGCCGCGGUAAUACGUAAGGGGCAAGCGUUAUCCGGAUUUACGGGGUGUAAAGGAAGCGUAGGUGGGUUGGUAAGUUAGAUGUGAAAGCGCGGGGCUCCACCCCGGGACGUCAUUUGAAACUAUCGAACUAGAGUGCAGGAGAGGUAAGUGGAAUUCCUAGUGUAGCGGUGAAAUGCGUAGAUAUGAGGAGGAACACCAGUGGCGAAGGCGGCUUACUGGACUGUAACUGACACUGAGGCUCGAAAGCGUGGGGAGCAAACAGG
RNAcentral lists this ribosomal RNA (399 nucleotides) under uncultured bacterium. RNAcentral describes it as "partial 16S ribosomal RNA". It matches the Rfam family "Bacterial small subunit ribosomal RNA", at positions 360 to 776 of the family's 1533-position model. The record is from RNAcentral.